UGAGUAACCUGCCCUUAACUCUGGGAUAAGCCUGGGAAACUGGGUCUAAUACCGGAUAUGACUCCUCAUCGCAUGGUGGGGGGUGGAAAGCUUUAUUGUGGUUUUGGAUGGACUCGCGGCCUAUCAGCUUGUUGGUGAGGUAAUGGCUCACCAAGGCGACGACGGGUAGCCGGCCUGAGAGGGUGACCGGCCACACUGGGACUGAGACACGGCCCAGACCUCCUACGGGAGGCAG
Molecule: ribosomal RNA, 235 nt
Filed under: uncultured bacterium
Lineage: Bacteria
Description: partial 16S ribosomal RNA
Rfam family: Bacterial small subunit ribosomal RNA
Source: RNAcentral